RNAcentral lists this transfer RNA (83 nucleotides) under Canis lupus familiaris (dog). It matches the Rfam family "tRNA". From Rfam's summary of the family: Transfer RNA (tRNA) molecules are approximately 80 nucleotides in length. Their secondary structure includes four short double-helical elements and three loops (D, anti-codon, and T loops). Lineage: Eukaryota; Metazoa; Chordata; Mammalia; Carnivora; Canidae. The record is from Rfam by way of RNAcentral. RNAcentral also lists the same sequence under 1 other name.
GCCUGAGUAGCUCAGUGGUUGAGCAUCUGCCUUUGGCUCAGGGCAUGAUCCCGGGGUCCUGGGAUCGAGUCCCACAUCAGGCU